Molecule: unclassified non-coding RNA, 240 nt
Filed under: soil metagenome
Description: partial contains 5.8S ribosomal RNA, internal transcribed spacer 2, and large subunit ribosomal RNA
Source: RNAcentral
AACAUCGCGCACCUGCGGGAACCUGCGGAAGGAUCAUUAAAAAGAGUGUGUACCCCUCUGUAAAAUGAGUGGGUUACCUCCCGUCCUUUGUUGACCUCUUAGGAGGUUAUUUUGAACUUUCUGCUUCGGUGGGGUUAAACCUACCGGAACACCCUCAAAUUCUUAUCAUUUAAAAAUUGUUCAGUCUGAUUUUUGUUAAUAAAAACAAAAAACUUUUAACAAUGGAUCUCAGAUCGGAAG